RNAcentral lists this ribosomal RNA (481 nucleotides) under uncultured bacterium. Its description in RNAcentral is "SSU rRNA". It matches the Rfam family "Bacterial small subunit ribosomal RNA", at positions 26 to 518 of the family's 1533-position model. The record is from RNAcentral.
AGGACGAACGCUGGCGGUGUGCUUAACACAUGCAAGUGGAGCGACGAACCAGGGCUUGCCCUGGGGCAGAGCCGCGAACGGGUGAGUAACACGUGGGUAACCUACCCCGAUGACUGGGACAACCCGAGGAAACUCGGGCUAAUACCGGAUAUGUCCGACGUUCACGAGAACGUCGAGCAAAGGAAGCUUCGGCCUCCGCAUUGGGAGGGGCCCGCGGCCCAUUAGCUUGUUGGUGGGGUAACGGCCUACCAAGGCUGCGAUGGGUAGCUGGUCUGAGAGGACGAUCAGCCACACUGGGACUGAGACACGGCCCAGACUCCUACGGGAGGCAGCAGUCGGGAAUUUUGCUCAAUGGGCGAAAGCCUGAAGCGGCAACGCCGCGUGAGGGAUGAAGGCCUUCGGGUUGUAAACCUCUUUUCUCAGGGACGAUAAUGACGGUACCUGAGGAAUAAGCCACGGCUAACUACGUGCCAGCAGCCGC